This 274-nucleotide ribosomal RNA is filed under the name uncultured bacterium. Its description in RNAcentral is "partial 16S ribosomal RNA". It matches the Rfam family "Bacterial small subunit ribosomal RNA", at positions 523 to 796 of the family's 1533-position model. The record is from RNAcentral.
ACACGGGGGGCGCAAGCGUUAUUCGGAAUUAUUGGGCGUAAAGGGCGUGUAGGCGGUUUUAUCAGUCAGAUGUGAAAGCCCAGGGCUCAACCCUGGACGUGCAUUUGAAACAGUAAGACUUGAGUACGGUAGAGGAAAGCGGAAUUCCUGGUGUAGAGGUGAAAUUCGUAGAUAUCAGGAGGAACACCGAUGGCGAAGGCAGCUUUCUGGACCGAAACUGACGCUGAUGCGCGAAGGCGUGGGUAGCGAACAGGAUUAGAAACCCCAGUAGUCC